CGUGCUUAACACAUGCAAGUCGAGCGGUAAGGCCCUUCGGGGUACACGAGCGGCGAACGGGUGAGUAACACGUGGGUGAUCUGCCUCGUACUCUGGGAUAAGCCUGGGAAACUGGGUCUAAUACCGGAUAUGACCACGAGUCGCAUGGUUUGUGGUGGAAAGAUUUAUCGGUGCGAGAUGGGCCCGCGGCCUAUCAGCUUGUUGGUGGGGUAAUGGCCUACCAAGGCGACGACGGGUAGCCGGCCUGAGAGGGCGACCGGCCACACUGGGACUGAGACACGGCCCAGACUCCUACGGGAGGCAGCAGUGGGGAAUAUUGCACAAUGGGCGGAAGCCUGAUGCAGCGACGCCGCGUGCGGGAUGACGGCCUUCGGGUUGUAAACCGCUUUCGACAGGGACGAAGCGUGAGUGACGGUACCUGUAGAAGAAGCACCGGCCAACUACGUGCCAGCAGCCGCGGUAAUACGUAGGGUGCGAGCGUUGUCCGGAAUUACUGGGCGUAAAGAGCUUGUAGGCGGUUUGUCGCGUCGUUCGUGAAAACUUGGGGCUCAACCCCAAGCUUGCGGGCGAUACGGGCAGACUAGAGUACUGCAGGGGAGACUGGAAUUCCUGGUGUAGCGGUGAAAUGCGCAGAUAUCAGGAGGAACACCGGUGGCGAAGGCGGGUCUCUGGGCAGUAACUGACGCUGAGAAGCGAAAGCGUGGGUAGCGAACAGGAUUAGAUACCCUGGUAGUCCACGCCGUAAACGGUGGGUACUAGGUGUGGGUUUCCUUCCACGGGAUCCGUGCCGUAGCUAACGCAUUAAGUACCCCGCCUGGGGAGUACGGCCGCAAGGCUAAAACUC
RNAcentral lists this ribosomal RNA (844 nucleotides) under Nocardia wallacei. RNAcentral describes it as "bacterial SSU rRNA". It matches the Rfam family "Bacterial small subunit ribosomal RNA", at positions 43 to 902 of the family's 1533-position model. The record is from RNAcentral. Lineage: Bacteria; Bacillati; Actinomycetota; Actinomycetes; Mycobacteriales; Nocardiaceae.